UAAUCACUUGUCUCUUAAAUGGGGACCUGUAUGAAUGGCUUUUCACUCUUUCACUGUCUCUCUUCCCUCCCUCCUAAUCUUCUAAUCACGUGAAGAAGCGUGAACAAAUAAGAAAGACGAGAAGACCCUGUCGAGCUUAAGCUAACCCUGAAAUGUCGUCUGCCUUUUUUCUUAGAAAGAGGUAAAUUUCAGAUAAAGUUUUGGUUGGGGCAACCGUGGAGAAAAAGAAUCCUCCAGUUAGUUAGGAAGAAAACCUUUCACCUAAAAAAUUUAGCGACCCAGUUACUCUGGUAAACGGAAAAAGUUACCGCAGGGAUAACAGCGUUAUCUUCUCUAAGAGCCCAUAUUGACGAGAAGGAUUGCGACCUCGAUGUUGGAUUGGGGUAACC
This 389-nucleotide ribosomal RNA is filed under the name Apostichopus japonicus (Japanese sea cucumber). Its description in RNAcentral is "partial 16S ribosomal RNA". It matches the Rfam family "Bacterial large subunit ribosomal RNA", at positions 1962 to 2547 of the family's 2925-position model. The record is from RNAcentral. Lineage: Eukaryota; Metazoa; Echinodermata; Holothuroidea; Aspidochirotida; Stichopodidae.